Molecule: long non-coding RNA, 3841 nt
Organism: Bactrocera dorsalis (oriental fruit fly)
Lineage: Eukaryota; Metazoa; Arthropoda; Insecta; Diptera; Tephritidae
Exons: 2
Source: RefSeq, a predicted model, not a curated record
UUGAUAGUGAAGAAACUCAUCUGUGCGGUUUCUUACCCGAAUACCAAUAUUAUAUACAGAGUGUUAUAUAUUGUCGUUUUUAUUAUAACCUUAUACAACACAAAAAUAUAAAUCUGAACAACAUGGUGUUUCUAACAAAUUACAUGUUAUGAGCCUAUGAUCAAAUAUGAACAGGACUGUCAAAAAAAACACAUUUUCACAUACAUACAUAUCUUAAUACAAAGUAGGCUUCUGAGCACCAAUGUUUCAUAUAUGGUACUUGUUAUAAGACUCGCUUGAGAUGGCCUUCAGCGAAUAUUGGUUUUGUUCGAUGUCGGUUAAUUUUUGAAGCGCCAUUCAUUAUAUUGUUCGAUAGUUUCGACGUCAUAUUCAUACUUCCGCUUUCCGUCUUCAGUAGUCUUGGGCUACAUGAAUGAUCAAAUUUGAACCGGACUGUCAAAAAAACUAUGGUACAUUAUUACUUAUGUUAAUACAAAUUUGUAUUAUCAUUUUAUAUAUGGUACGUUAGCAUGCUUCUCUUUACGACCCCCACUCGACGUCAUUUUUGGAAAGAUUCAUCCCUUUUGGCACUAGUUUAGUUUCAUUCCCAAAACAUUAAACAAAAUCUGUUGAGUCGAUCCAUAAGAGAUGUAGAGAUCCUCUGCUGGCAAGGUUUCUUUAACUUCUUCAAUGCUAUCGUCAUUAACAAAGGUGGAUGAACGCUUGUGAGAGACAAGUUGUCGAUGACCUCAUCACCUUCACUGAAUGUUUGUACCAUUUAAAUGUUUGUAAUGAAAUAAAUCCCACAAACACACAUUUUUAAACUAAUUGACAAAUUCAAUGUAAAAAUCGCCAGACUUUAUCGUAAACUAAAAGCUAAAAAACACUAACUGACAUAUAGAAAUAAAACUUCACACUUUAUGUUCGUGUGAAAAUUGUACCAAACUAAGAAAACAGUUUUAUAGAAUCGGUUUGCGUAUUUUUAUGGACCAGGUCAAAAUAUAUCAGGUGGUAUUUUUCGAUUCGAUCAAACUUAGAGUUGACAUAUUUUUUCCGGAUUUUUUUCUGAUUUAUACUAAAUUAUAGUAUUUCCAUUUUACUUUAUUUACAGAUGGGCGAAAUUUAUAAAUUAUUGCUUACUUUUCACAUAAAUUCAGAUUAAGCUACAAGUUAAGCUGAUAUGCACACAGAAUAAGCCAGGUAUUAGGAAAGAAUGUGCUUGGUUAAAAUAUUUUAAUAACCCAUUUGGAAUAACCCAUAUUAUUUCUUCGUUUUCAUAAAUUUACAAAAUAUUUGCAUAUUUGCAAUAAUAAUACGCAAUAAUAUUUAAUGAAAUGCAAAUAUACUAAACAGAUUUGAGCUUAAUGUCAGAAAGUAAGAAAUUUACCCCACUUACAAGAUUAAUUAACUAUGAAGUGGGCAAGUGGGCAAGUGUACUUAGAACCCGCCACUGAAAUCGCGGACAUACUCGUAUCACAUAAAUUUCAGCUGGAGCCUUUAUCGUCCCACUUGAAACGUUUUAUUUGCCUGGAUUUGUAAACACCGGUUAUGUGCUCAGUUUAAGAAAUUAUUUAAUACUACUGACCGUAAUCUGAUGUAAUUUUCUAACUAAAAAUGCUAAUAUAUAUUUAUACAAUAUAUAAGUAUAUGUUAGUACUGCAUAAAUACAAUAAAAGUUGCAUUUCUUACAGUGGGGGUAUUCACUAAAUAUUCAUGUAACAUACAUACAUGUCUUGGAUUUUGCAGACUUCAGUAGUAACAAUAUAAAAUUUAGCUUAUUUAAUAAACAUAAUAUGGUUUUAAAAACUUACAGAGCUCGUUAAGGAGCUACAUAGGUUUCUCUGCUUUUUUAUUGACAUAUUUCAUUCCUAAUAUAUUGUCCUAAAUUCUCAAGUUGUGUAAUAGUUUUGAGGAUACAGUUUGAAAAGCUGUGCGCUCGAGUUCAAAUAAAGGGUGAACCAUUUCGAGGUUCCCAACUUUUUUAAAGAAAAAACACAGAAACUUCAAAUUUAAUAGGGAAUGUUUAUUAUCAUUCGAAAGAACAUUAUUUGGCAUUUAUUUUUUGAAGAUUAUCUCUUUCAAAUGUUGGCCGCGGCUACGUCUCAGAUGGUCCAUCCGUUGAGUCCAAUUUUCGAUGACUCGUUCAAGCAUUUCGACUGGUAACUGGCGAAUGAUACGCGUGAUGUUUUGCUUCAAGGCCUGAAUCGAUGCGAAAUUGUCUGCAUAGACUUAAUACUUUACAUAUUCUCACGGGAAAACCUCUAAAUAUCUCACAAUCUUGGUGGCCAAUCGACCGGCCCAAAACGUGAAAUUAUCUGCUCACUGAAGUGUUUUCUCAAUAAAUGCAUCGCAUCAGAUGUGUGAGAAGUGCGCCGUCUUGUUAAAACCAAAUGUCGCCGAGAUCACGAGCUUCAAUUUAAGUAAUCAAAUAGUCGGUUAUCGUGGCGCGUUAACGGUCGCCAUUGACGGUUACGUUUUCAUCGAAGCCGAAUAUCUCGCGAAGUAUUAAUGAUAGCGAUUUUGACCUCGGACAUUUUUUGUAGCAAAUAAAAUUUCCAACAAGUUUGUCAUGUACUUUUUUUCUAACACUUUUGUAGAGUGUGCAAUUCUGAGUAAUAUGUGUUUAAAGUCAAAGCGAUGCCAUUAAAUUGUCUCUGAGCUAUAGAAAUUUAAUGAUAAAAAAUCACGAUUGCCGUGUAUUUUCAAUGGAAAAAUUUUACUUGCCUUGGUCCAGUCCUUAAUGUUAAUAUUAAGGGCUCAAAUUUUCAGGGAAUUUGUUUUAAGGGUAUUUCCAAGGAAAUUUCAAGAUGGGAUUGAUAAAAUCGAAUAGUUCAAAAAAAAAAACACCCUAACACACUACAAACUUUGUCUAUCAAAAAUAAUAUUAAUUAAAUUUUGUAUGCUUUCUUUCUAAUAUGUGGCAUAUAGUACAUAUAUAAUUUAUUUACCACAGUGAAUACCUCUAUUGUAUGGAAGUGUAAAAAACUAUAACAGUUCUUCGAGCUGCAAUACUGAAAGUGAUGCAGUGCACUUGUUUCGUUAAUUAGUUCUCAGCAGAUUAGUUCAUUCUAUGCAUAUGCACGCAGUACAAACCACACGUACAUAUAUGUACAUGUAGGAAUGCAGUUUUAAUUAUUCAUUGCACCUACAGUUACAGUAAAUAACGUAAUAGAAGACAAAUCUUUAAAUCAGCGGUGCUUAGAAACACAAUACAAUACUCGGUUCGAGCAAGUUUCCGUUUAUUAAGUCACAUUAUUUUCUUUAAUAAUAUUAUAUUUAGAAAACUAAUAUUUCUUGUUUUGACACGACUUAAUAUCGCAAAUCAUAGCUGACUAUUGCUUAACUGUAAAAAUGUUGAAUAGAAUUUUUAUACUCACACAACAUGUUGCUACGAAGUACAUACGUAGGUUACCUUUUAUAUUCUGGGAUUAGACUACAAAAUUCUCUAUUAAGAUCUAUAUAUUUUUAUAUGCGUUUGAACAAUUUGUCGAAGCACUUUUGCUACUCAAAUUGAAGUAUCUCCAAAACAUGCAUUUUGAACGCAUCAGUCGGUGCUUUAGGAAUAAAAGAAGUCAUUCGGUGACAUGUCAGAACUUUACAAUGUAAUACCCAUCAAAUCGAUGUUUUUUUGUCGUGGUGAAGAGUAAUUCGUCUUCGGCAGGUGUCAACCAAUUGACACAAGGAUUUUUUGAGCUAUUGACAAAUUGUGUGUGAUCCAACGUAAACGAUCUUUUACAUUCAAAUGCUCAUGAACUAUUGAAUGCAAUAUCAGAAUGCACACAGCAUCAAUUGUUUUGGGAAAAACUACUGAUAUUGGACGACUUUCCCGAAAUUCGUCUUGCAGUGAUCUGCGAAUUCGAUU